AACCCUCAAUCCCCCUGUUUUGUAAUGAAGCAGGUGCGGGCUUGGAUUCUGGCUGUCUUGCCGGCCCUGUCAUAGGGUCAGCUCAGCUGAAAUGUACGAGCAGCUUGUAUUUCGAUACUAUAGAAGGCUUCACUCGGCGUAAUAAUAUUUAUUCUCGUCAGGUUGAAUGCAGUCUUAUCGUUAGACGGCGCUUAUAAUUGGCUUCACCUUGUGAAACACUUAAAC
Molecule: unclassified non-coding RNA, 225 nt
Filed under: uncultured Erythrobasidium
Lineage: Eukaryota; Fungi; Basidiomycota; Cystobasidiomycetes; Erythrobasidiales; Erythrobasidiaceae
Description: sequence contains ITS2
Source: RNAcentral